UCACUCUGGUUUCUCUUCAGAACACACAAGUCUUUUGCCUUUUACUAAAGACUUCCUUGAAGGGGAACCCCAAUGAGUUGAAACUCUUUUUUGUGGGCAUUGCUGUUUGGCCGAGC
Small nuclear RNA from Etheostoma cragini (Arkansas darter), 116 nucleotides. RefSeq annotates it as U5 spliceosomal RNA. The record is from RefSeq and is a predicted model, not a curated record. The transcript has a single exon. NCBI's taxonomy places the organism in Eukaryota, Metazoa, Chordata, Actinopteri, Perciformes, Percidae.